CACCAGUAAAAUGCAGGAACACUUUCUGUUCUAGGUCGCCCACCAGUAAAAUGCAGGAAUACAUUCUGUUCUAGGUCGCCCACCAGUAAAAUGCGGGAAUACUUUCUGUUCUAGGUCGCCCACCAGUAAAAUGCGGGAAUACUUUCUGUUCUAGGUCGCCCACCAGUAAAAUGCGGGAAUACAUUCUGUUCUAGGUCGCCCACCAGUAAAAUGCGGGAAUACAUUCUGUUCUAGGUCGCCCACCAGUAAAAUGCGGGAAUACAUUCUGUUCUAGGUCGCCCACCAGUAAAAUGCGGGAACACUUUCUGUUCUAGGUCGCCCACCAGUAAAAGCAGGAAUACAUUCUGUUCUAGGUCGCCCACCAGUAAAAUGCGGGAAUACAUUCUGUUCUAGGUCGCCCACCAGUAAAAUGCGGGAAUGCUUUAUGUUCUAGGUCGCACACCAGUA
RNAcentral lists this long non-coding RNA (447 nucleotides) under Nicotiana tabacum (common tobacco). RNAcentral describes it as "long non-coding RNA (NTAB_LNC009225)". The record is from RNAcentral. Lineage: Eukaryota; Viridiplantae; Streptophyta; Magnoliopsida; Solanales; Solanaceae.